Molecule: ribosomal RNA, 432 nt
Filed under: uncultured bacterium
Lineage: Bacteria
Description: bacterial SSU rRNA
Rfam family: Bacterial small subunit ribosomal RNA
Source: RNAcentral
GGGCCCGCACAAGCGGUGGAGUAUGUGGCUUAAUUCGAGGCAACGCGAAGAACCUUACCUGGUCUUGACAUGCCCGUCAUAGUUUUCCGAAAGGAAUUCGUCAGUUCGGCUGGACGGUGCACAGGUGCUGCAUGGCUGUCGUCAGCUCGUGUCGUGAGAUGUUCGGUUAAGUCCGGCAACGAGCGCAACCCUCGUUCCUAGUUGCCAGCGGGUAAUGCCGGGGACUCUAGGAAGACAAACCUCGUGUAGAGGUGGGAAGGUGGGGACGACGUCAAGUCAGUAUGGCCCUUACGACCAGGGCUGCACACGUGCUACAAUGCCCAGCACAAUGGGAUGCAACGCCGCGAGGUUGAGCAAAUCUCUUAAAGCUUGUCUCAGUUCGGAUAGGAGUCUGCAACUCGACUCCUUGAAGUUGGAGUCGCUAGUAAUCGC